This 497-nucleotide ribosomal RNA is filed under the name uncultured bacterium. Its description in RNAcentral is "partial 16S ribosomal RNA". It matches the Rfam family "Bacterial small subunit ribosomal RNA", at positions 28 to 507 of the family's 1533-position model. The record is from RNAcentral.
GAUGAACGCUGGCGGCAGGCCUAAUACAUGCAAGUCGAACGAACAGACGAAGAGGUUUCUCCUCUUACGGUAGCGUCGGACGGGGGAGAGACACGUGUGUGACCUAGCUAGAAGGCGGGGGUAAACUCGUGGAACCGGUACUAAUACCGGAUAAUAUAUUGAACCGCAUGGUUCAAGAGUUAAGGGCGUUUUUGCUUUCACUGAGAGAUGAAGCCGCGUGGCAUUAGCUAGUUGGUAAGGUAACGGCUUACCAAGGCAACGAUUCGUAGCCGAUCUGAGAGGGUGAUCGGCCACACUGGAACUGAGACACGGUCCAGACUCCUACGGGAGGCAGCAGUAGGGAAUAUUGCGCAAUGGGCGAAAGCCUGAUGCAGCAAUGCCGCGUGAGUGAUGAAGGUCUUCGGAUCGUAAAACUCUGUCAGCAGGGAAGAACAAAUGUGUAAGUAAACCUGUACGUAUUGACGUUACCCACUCAGAAAGCACCGGCUAACUACGUG